AGUGGACCUGUGCAUCUGUCUGUAUGUGUGUGUGUGUUUCUGUGUUACAUGUGUGCAGUUUGGAAGCACAAUGUGAAUACCAACGAGCCAGGAGCUCCUCCCUCGUGUGCUGGCUAUUGUCACAGUCAUAUAAGGCAGAUCAUGUGAAGCCUUUUGAUCACAGAGAGGAGAGAAAUCAGUGUGUUGUGAAAUAAGAGAGAUUUAGGAAGCUAAAACAUCAGUGAUGAAUGGGGGGGUGUGUGUGUGUGUGUGAGUGUGAAAUAAGAGAGAUUUAGGAAGCUAAAACAUCAGUGAUGUGUGUGUGUGUGAGAGAGAGAGAGAGAUUUAGGAAGCUAAAACACCAGUGAUGGAUGUAAACGACCACCUUUGUGAUUUUGUACUGCUUGACUUGAGAUGAGAUUGGUAUGGGUGGGCUUAUAGUGUGUAACUUGAUAUGUAAUAUACUCGCAAAUAUUUGGGUUUUGUUUUUGUAUUUUUGCAUAUGUGUUUUGAAAUGAUAGUGUGUGAAUUAAUGGUUGUGAAAAUGUUGGGUAAAUUGCAGUUUUAAAAUGUGUCCUUUUUUGGGACAGUAUUUUUGCUCACAAAGAUGAACCUUUUCUUUGAAAGUAGCUAUUUAGCGGGGUUUGAAUGGUUUCAGAAAGGCCUGCGUGAUUUUAUUGGAAUUAUAUUUAAUUUUUGAGGAAUUAUCUAGAUAAUCGGUACAAACUCGUCAUCUAAGCUAACCUGUUGUGUAUUUUAAUGUGGAGAACAAGCGUGUGUAAGGUAGGGUGUCAUUUAUUUUCUAAUCAUGUUAUUAUUUAUAUUUUUUUAUAUUUAUUCACUUUUGGUAUUAUGUAGUGAAUGUGAAUUUGUGAAAGAUGUUUGUACUGCUUGUGUGUUUGAUAUAGUUUAGAUAUGUAGGUGUAUAUAUACAUAGAUAUAGUUCACGGUGCUGAAAGCCGUCAAAAAGGGCAUAUGGACACUACAUCUGUGUUUGUACGUUGCGGUGACAGUGACACGUUUUGGCACCAGUCGAGACUCUCAUUUCGGACUCCAAGGGCUGCAACAGUGAAAACUCGACUCUGCAUCUGAGUCAUCUGCCAUGCCGCACGCUACUGCCUUUAUCGUUAGGCUCUUCAAAUCUUGGUUGUCCCAUGCACUCAGGCAAGAUCGUAAAUUAAUGGCAAGUUAUAUAAAACAGAUACUACAGACGCAGUGAGAGACUCUGGUUAACUGAGCAAUUCUAGAAACAAACUAAAUUGUUACACGAAAAGGGGGAGCGAUGAUGCAAACAUGUGAUUUGGUCAUCUGGAGGCCCUGAGGUUUUUCCACUCCUCCUCUACUGUCAUCUCUCAUCACUCCAUCCUGGCUGUAGCACAUGGCCUGCCACAUGAAAAAAAAACAGAAUAACAGGUUACAGAGGCUACACACACAGACACACACACUCAUAAACUCUCUCUCUCUCACACACACACACAAACACACACACACACAUACAGCCUCACCUACACCCAGAGUAAACUUUGCUUAGUUUAAAACAUGUCACCUCUCUCUCUGUCUGUCAUUGGAACAGUGAUGGCAACACCCACUGGGCAAAGCUUUCACUUAAAUGAAGAUGAUGUAUGUGGGUGUGAUGUUAACUGUCAAUCAAUUCCCAGCUUGUGUUGUUUGUACGGAUCCACACACACACACACACACACACAUACACACCUAUACACAUACAUACACAAGAAUGAAAGCUCAGUCUCGUAUAUUCACAAUUGAGUUCACGCUGAGAUUGGGAAGUUGUACUCCCGCAUGACUUUAGUUUUCUUUUCUGAUACACACAUUCACUCACACACCCACACACACACACACACACACACACACACCUCAGUUCAUGGGUAGAAUAAGAGUGAAUUGAAUCCGCCUGAAGUGACAGGACACUCAACCUCAUUACUCAUCUGUCACACUCAGCAACCUGAUGCAUCAUC
Clupea harengus (Atlantic herring) is the source of this 1952-nucleotide long non-coding RNA. The record is from Ensembl. NCBI's taxonomy places the organism in Eukaryota, Metazoa, Chordata, Actinopteri, Clupeiformes, Clupeidae.